GGGGGUAUGGCUCCGUGGUAGAGCACUUGCCUGGCAGGCAUGAAGUCCUGGGUUCCAUCCCCAGCCCA
RNAcentral lists this transfer RNA (68 nucleotides) under Heterocephalus glaber (naked mole-rat). It matches the Rfam family "tRNA". Rfam says of the family: Transfer RNA (tRNA) molecules are approximately 80 nucleotides in length. The record is from Rfam by way of RNAcentral. Lineage: Eukaryota; Metazoa; Chordata; Mammalia; Rodentia; Bathyergidae.